Molecule: ribosomal RNA, 468 nt
Filed under: uncultured bacterium
Lineage: Bacteria
Description: partial 16S ribosomal RNA
Rfam family: Bacterial small subunit ribosomal RNA
Source: RNAcentral
GACGAACGCUGGCGGCGUGCUUAACACAUGCAAGUCGAACGGAAAGGCCCUGCUUUUGUGGGGUGCUCGAGUGGCGAACGGGUGAGUAACACGUGAGUAACCUGUCCUUGACUUUGGGAUAACUUCAGGAAACUGGGGCUAAUACCGGAUAGGAGCUCUUGCUGCAUGGUGGGGGUUGGAAAGUUUCGGCGGUUGGGGAUGGACUCGCGGCUUAUCAGCUUGUUGGUGGGGUAGUGGCUUACCAAGGCUUUGACGGGUAGCCGGCCUGAGAGGGUGACCGGCCACAUUGGGACUGCGAUACGGCCCAGACUCCUACGGGAGGCAGCAGUGGGGAAUAUUGCACAAUGGGCGGAAGCCUGAUGCAGCAACGCCGCGUGCGGGAUGACGGCCUUCGGGUUGUAAACCACUUUCGCCUGUGACGAAGCGUGAGUGACGGUAAUGGGUAAAGAAGCACCGGCUAACUACGUG